This 930-nucleotide ribosomal RNA is filed under the name uncultured bacterium. RNAcentral's name for it is "bacterial SSU rRNA". It matches the Rfam family "Bacterial small subunit ribosomal RNA", at positions 66 to 1024 of the family's 1533-position model. The record is from RNAcentral.
ACGAUUAAAGCCCCUUCGGGGGUGUAUAAAGUGGCGAAAGGGCGAGGAAUACGUUCCUACGUACCCCGAGGUUUGGGAUAGCCCAGGGAAACUUGGAGUAAUACCAAAUGUGGUCUUCGGAUCAAAGAUUUAUCGCCUUGGGAGCGGGGAACGCCCUAUCAGCUUGUUGGUGAGGUAACGGCUCACCAAGGCUUUGACGGGUAGCGGGUGUGAGAGCAUGACCCGCCGCAUCGGGACUGAGACACUGCCCGGACUCCUACGGGAGGCUGCAGUAACGAAUCUUCCGCAAUGCGCGAAAGCGUGACGGAGCAAUGCCGCGUGCAGGAUGAAGCCCCUCGGGGUGUAAACUGCUGUCAGGGUAUAGGAACACAAUGACCAAACCCAAAGGAAGGGCCGGCUAACUUCGUGCCAGCAGCCGCGGUAAUACGAAGGGCCCGAGCGUUAUUCGGAAUCACUGGGCUUAAAGCGUACGCAGGCGGACCGUCAGGCAUCGUGUGAAAUCCCUCCGCUCAACGGAGGAACUGCACGGUGAACCGUCGGUCUUGAGACAAGUAGGGGCGAUCGGAACGCUAGGUGGAGUGGUGGAAUGCGUUGAUAUCUAGCGGGACGCCGAAGGAGAAAUCAGGUCGCUGGGCUUGUUCUGACGCUGAGGUACGAAAGCGUGGGGAGCGAACGGGAUUAGAUACCCCGGUAGUCCACGCCGUAAACGAUGUGCACUAGGUCGAGGUGGGUCUGACCCCUUCUCGGCCGAAGCGAAAGUGGUAAGUGCACCGCCUGGGGAGUACGGUCGCAAGGCUAAAACUCAAAGGAAUUGACGGGGGCUCACACAAGCGGUGGAGCAUGUGGCUUAAUUCGAAGCAACGCGAAGAACCUUAUCCUGGAUUUGACAUGCACGGAUUAACCCCGUGAAAGCGGGGCCACGCCCUCGGG